AGGCGUCUGCGGUGCGCACCGGGCUUUUAUGUCCUUGAACCAAUGCUCAUAUGAGCUCGGGCUUGGAAAUUUCCUGGGGAGCGUGAACGUCUCGCGUCAGAUGAUCCCAACUCCGGGCUGACCUCGCCCACCUGAACCGCCGGUUCAGGCUGCGGCCCGGUGGCAUCUGCAGACACCUU
RNAcentral lists this non-coding RNA (179 nucleotides) under Pseudorhodoferax soli. Its description in RNAcentral is "6S / SsrS RNA". It matches the Rfam family "6S / SsrS RNA". Rfam says of the family: E. coli 6S RNA was the first non coding RNA to be sequenced, but its function was unknown until recently. It consists of 184 nucleotides that fold into an extended hairpin structure with a large single-stranded internal bulge. The 6S RNA specifically associates with RNA polymerase holoenzyme containing the sigma70 specificity factor. The record is from RNAcentral. Lineage: Bacteria; Pseudomonadati; Pseudomonadota; Betaproteobacteria; Burkholderiales; Comamonadaceae.